UUUCUUCAUGAGUAAUUUGCCAUCCUAUCCCAUAAUCCUUCAGGCUGACUAGGUGUGUUUGAAGAUCAUCUGGAGGCUUACAGAUGACUCAGGUGGCCAUGAAAUGAAAAGGGGGGAUUUAGAUCUUAAGGGGAUUAAAACUAUAACCGACUUUGGUCUUGUCUCCAUCUUUAAGCAGCUUUUGUGGGUUAAUAGAAGCAAUUUCCCCCUUGAGUGAGCCAUGCACAGGCACUGGAAUUGGUUACUUCUAAGUAGCGGCAGACGAACGCCAGUGUACGGAAUGUGUGAUGUUAAUCCUCUCCGCUCCGGCACAGAAGAAAUCCAAUUUCCAAACAGUUCUGGGGGAAGAAAGACUGGUUCUGAGGAAACAACCACGAAACAAGCCGCUGCAGUCAACAGUUUAAACACCCGAUGUAAAAUGUGCAAGCUUCUGGACAAGAGCCUCUCUCUGAUAGGCUACAAAAUAUGUUAAUGGGAGUUGAUGAGAACUGGAUGCAGAAAAACCAUUACAUCCUCAACUGUUGGCUGAAGGAAAAUCCUUUUCCUUGACAAGAUCUGAGUAAAUGCUUGCUCUUAGCAAAA
Non-coding RNA from Rattus norvegicus (Norway rat), 582 nucleotides. The record is from RefSeq and is a predicted model, not a curated record. Lineage: Eukaryota; Metazoa; Chordata; Mammalia; Rodentia; Muridae.